Molecule: long non-coding RNA, 5123 nt
Filed under: Sorghum bicolor (sorghum)
Lineage: Eukaryota; Viridiplantae; Streptophyta; Magnoliopsida; Poales; Poaceae
Description: long non-coding RNA (SBIC_LNC014915)
Source: RNAcentral
CAUCAAUCGCUCAUUAUUGCCAUGCAGCUGCAUGACUUAUUGUGUUGUUUGCAUGUUGUCCACAAAUUAAACGUGACACUUACAUACUACUGUCAUAUUUCUUUCUUCACGAACCAUAUUACUUUUCCUACAAAACCCAGCCGGAUCAGUCCGUUUUCUACGUUAUAUAUAUCUCCGAGCCAGCGUUGAGUUCUUUCAAACAUGCAUGCACGUAUGUGAUUUAUUAACUUUUUUAAUCUAGAGCAUGCGACACAUGUGUCGAGUCUUCCUGUGAGAUUGAAACUAACUUGAAGUAAAAAAAAAUGCCCUCUCUUACAAUAAAGCAUGGGACAUGCAUAUAAAUUGUGGACAUCCUUAUUUGAUUGGAAAAUAGGACUGGUGGGAAGUGAUGUGGGUGUAACAGCAGAGCUAGAAAUUGGGGGCUUGAGGAACAGUAGAUAUCAUGGAGAAUGCGAAAAGACUGUGAUGUUUCCUGGAACAUCGUCCACACCAGCAUAUCAUUGGAGUCGGUCAUUCAGCUGCAGUUUGCGAAAAGGAAGUUGAAUGUCUUCCUUGCUGUGCUUUUCUAUGGCGUGGUGAAGAGUGUUCCACCAGUCCAGUUAACAAAGCUUACUGUGGAGGGACAUAUAUGGAUGCCAAGUAAUUUUAGGAGCUGCAUGUGCACCACGCAGAAUGUGUAGAGUGGAUCUUAUUCAGUGGUCAUGCACCAUGUAGAGUUCUAGUAAGGAUGAGCGGCAUCUGGAAUUUCUUCUGGUCAUGUCAUUUCUGUCCCACUGGUGUCCCCCAUGUUUGAUGCAGUCAAAUAACAAUUAUAGCAUCGCCUACAAGGUCAUUCACGGCAGUCUGGUGGGAUUAGUCGGAAUAUCUCAGAUUGUGUGGAUGCAAUCCUUUCAUGCCAAUCUGAUGGACCUGAUGGAAAGUUCAGAGCUAAGAAGGCCCAGCGAUCAGGUUGCUAGGCAUGACCAGUUAGAAUUUGGGGUCAGUGUGCUGCCGUGUGUGGGAGGGAGAAGUGUGGCUUCCUGCAUGCAUGUGUUAGACACAAUGGAGAGAACCGUCCUGAACAUGUAAACCAAAUCAGAACUGCCGCUGAACUCAAUCUAUCCCCCAAUUCCUCUGCUCAUUAUUUCUCUUCAUCUAAGCGAUUCACACAAGACAUGUUACCUGUACGAUAUUCAGUACCUUCUGACAGGUAAUCAAACACAUGUAUGUCUAAUAAUUAUGAGCCAUGUUGUCUCUCAGGCCUUAGGCCAAAGCAUGUAUGAUUUGUUCCCACAUUAUUUGAAUUCCUUCUAAAAGGAGAAAUUUAAAAGUAAAAAACUAAUCAGUUCCGUGCAUGCAGCCGAUAGAUGGACAAGGACCACCCCAUCUUGUCGAGGCUCACAUUACCCUUUAGUCACCAGAUCAUGCACUGCGAGCAUUGACAGGAAAAUAAAUUGUUAAUUUUUUAUCUGAGGUCAAAUGAAACUUUUUAUGAAAUUGUGUAACUCAAUGAAAUCAACAAAUAUAUAGUUGACACUAUUUUUAUUUGAGACAUCUUACAUGAUGAAAUACUACAUAUUACGCUCUUAAAUCUAUUUAACAUCCUGCUGUUUGGGGUUGCAGAUUCCUAUCUGGUGUCAACAGAGGGGUGUGUAUAACUACACACAUUACUAAACAGGGUAGCUUUCAGAUCCCCGCUGUCAGUGUGAACACAUGAGCAUAUAACUACAGACAUUAUUACAGAGCAGUUUUCGGUCCCCACUGAAAUUCACUAUUAAUCACAUUAUAAUGGGUCCUUGUCCCUAAGGUAGGCUGAAGGAAUGGCUAACUCUGAUUUCACGACUCCAGGCUAUAUAUUUGCACUGCCUCAUCAUUCUCAUAGCCAUGUUGCUUCCACACACCGUCAAUACAAAUAGCCACCCCAUGAACUGACCAAUUGACCAUGAGUGCUUCAUAGUUGUGGUCAUUACGUUAAUUUUAUUCUUCUCAAUCAAAUAUACAGUGAUUCCCGUGCAAGGAACGAUAGGAAUGGCAGGCAUCAAGAAUGUGGUGGGGUCGUGGCCUGGUGGAAGAACAAAGCAGAAGUUCCAUGCUCGGGUCCACGUUGGAUGAAGACUCACGUAGUUGCUCUCUUUUUUUCGAAAGAUCCGUUACCGGCUUUCAUUGAUAAGAGCGAAGUUGAAUUACAGACAUGAUUACAAUAUGGGGCUUAUAGUGGCACAAGCUGCGCCCGCCCCAACCACCAUUUUUGCUUGGGGACGUAGUUGCUCUCAAUCUCUACAUUAAUUAAUAUGCGAAUACCUUCAGUAGUGUGAGGGCCUUCUAUGAAGUUACUAGAUUUGGCUUAUGCAUACCGUGACUGGGAAUAAUAUACGAAUGUACCUUGCAGAUGUUUAUUGCUUCAGUAAUAUCGCUAGGCUUCUAGUGAACGUGCAAGUCAUACAAACCUAAGAGAAAUUACAAACCUAAGAUUAAUUGAAAGAUCAUGGCCCGUCGUCAGAUAAGCAAACAAGCACAUGUCCUAUGGUGGUUGGCCUUUAACUUAGGUGUUGAAGUUGGCCACUGACUUUUGUGUUGAACUGCACAUGUUCAUUUUUGCAAUCCAUGUGUACAUACAUAUAUACACCUCGAAACAACAAAAUUCAAGAUGUAGAUGAUGCGAUCAGUCCACUGUCGGUUAGAGGAUAAAUGUCUAGACCUACAAAUAUAUAUGGAAGCCUCAACUUGUGUGUCGCUUUGGACAUGCCUCAAUGCCAUAAUAAUUCCUAUAUAUCUAGGCAUAGCCACCAACGUGCACGCUCUGGCAGGAGGCAGGUAUGUGGUUUGAAAUCAGUGCAGACAGUCUAGCAAGAUCUCGAUCCUUGUUGGUUAGCUCUGUAUCACUGGUGUUCCUGCUAAGGAUGGGAGUCAUCUCGAAAUUGAUGUGGUGUGUGUUCUCAGCACAAAGCAGUACAGACAGUCGCUCAACUGCCAUGAAUCGAACAGUCAUGAUCAGUUGACAAGCUGGCAAUGCUAGGUGACUACGCGCAUGCUGCAACUAGUUGAUUGCAGGUACCACAGCCUUCAUUGGAUGGAACACAAGUGCAGUAACUGCAGAAGACAUUAAGUUCUAGAUUUUAAUUCCCAACUGGAGCAUAGGUGUACUGGAUCCUUUACAAUUCUAUGUUGGCGAUUUUUUUCACAUGCAUAAAUGCAUCCUAAUAAUAAUACAAAUGUGACCUCCUUGUUCCUAUAGCUCCAAAGGAACAUAAUAAUAUCAUAUAAACUAGCUACAUCCUCCGAAUUACAAAACUUUUUGAAAAUAUAUCUGCCCUAGCUACAAACUUUGUGAUUCACAAGAUCUUCCGACUCAAUCCUUCGGUGGUACUCAGAUGGAUGGGUAGGGUGUGCGUGCAUUAUUGUGGGUGUCUGCAUUAUACUAUAUAUGUAAUUAUUCUUAAGAAAUACCCAUACCUACAUCUUCUAGUUAAAAUAUAAAAACCUUUAAUAUUUUAUUAUUUCAUUUCCACACCGUGUGUGUCCUUGUCCUUCCUAUAUUAUAUAUAUCAAAGCUCUGUGCUAGCCUGAUAUAGUCGCUGCAGCUACAUAGAUCAAAUAUCCAGUACUCCCUUAUAAGAAUGGGAGGCAUGUGGGAUUAUGUGUGGCCUGGGAGAGCUUGUUUAUGGAGAACAUCAAUCCAGGUUCAUAGCUGCAUUCGAUGCUGUCGCACCAUUGCCACCUUUGUCUGCUUAACAACAACAUUUAUUAAGCACUGUGUCGGAACCAUGUGUGGGCAUCCCUAAAGACUUGAUCGUGAAAAUGAAGUCUGAUGCUGCGCCAGAAAGUAUAAUCGAACGAGGUUCGGUCCUGAUGACUUCUAGCCCUACGCAGUUCUGAAUUCAUUGAUGCAAGUGCUAUAGACCUAAUCAAAUCAGUUCCUUUUCCAGUAUGCCUAUCCACCUAAGCAAUUGGCCCUUAUAUCAGGUUCCUUGGGAAUUGCUCGCACGAGAGAAUUUGAGGCAUCCAUGGCUUCGCCGUGCGCAAACACGUGGCUAUGGCUUUGAUUGUUUUGCAUUAAACCCAUCCAUGUUUCAUAAAACCAACAUGUAGUCCAUCCAACUGGGCAUGAACAGUAAACACAAUCACAACUGUUAUGUAUAGACCCUUAGUUAACGUCAAGAAGACAAAAUUUGAGAUCUACGUGAUUUUUACAGAAACUAACCCGUAUAAUUUUGCGGCGGACACGACGCUACCAUCCCAAGCGACCUAGCUCGCCAUCGAAUUCUCUCCGUUCUCUCUCUUCAACGCCAACGCCACACGAGACGAGGCAUGCGCGGUUGCAAGAUACCGACGUAUGCAACCAAGGAGGCGUCUCUACGAACAUAUACAACCUCUUGAAUUCACAACGUAUUUUUGGAGAAUAUCACUGUGGACUGCCUCUGUAAGUACAAGGUAUUGACUCCAAAACUUGUUUUUGUGGUAGUUGUACUAAACAGUCUGUAAGCAGCCCAUGUGACCUAUUAUCUCUAUCUCUUCCAUGUGGCCUAUCAAUUGGUGGCCUACUCUAGCACAUCUCUUUCUCUCUCUGUGUACAUCCUCGGAUGUAGAGGCCGGAUAUUUAUAUCCAUUAUCUAAAAAAAUCUCUUUCUCUCUCUCUAGGGAAAAAGGCGCCUCCGAUCCCAAUGACGACUCCCUUUCUCUUCCACCCUGCCUCUAUCCAUUUAAUUCCCGGGUGGCCACCUCUCUAUCGGAGAUUAAGAUAUCUUGCACUGUGACUCCUAUAUAUAUUACCACAGCCUCCACCCCACACACUCAUGACCGUGCCUGGGGUCUGGUACAAGAUAACGUGGCCCUGCUAGUAUGUGAGCGUUCAUGUGGCAUGGAAGAAGCACCUCUGGGCAGCACGAGCAGUUGAAAUGGGAGGUAUCUGGAAAUUGUUCUGGUGCGUCAAGUCUGUCCGCAGCACAUCUCUAACAUUGAUAGGUACACGAGUGCAUGCAGCUUGGAAUAGUUCUGUUAAUUUACUCAAGCACUAGGGUUGUAUAGGCACUAGCAGCACUAGUACACAAAUGCUCUAAGCCGGCGGGGGCAAAAACUUUGCACAGGCGGUUUUAGUUAUAACGCGCCUGUGUUGUAAAUUUGUAUGGCAAGAAUUAAAAACCGUC